AGGAGAUGUUGUUUAAGGGUACAAACUUACAACUAAUAGAUAAAUAGGUCUUAGAGAUCUAACACACAGCAUAGAGAUUAUAAUCAACUAUACCAUCUUAUUAA
This is a non-coding RNA of Ceratotherium simum simum (southern white rhinoceros), 104 nucleotides long. NCBI's taxonomy places the organism in Eukaryota, Metazoa, Chordata, Mammalia, Perissodactyla, Rhinocerotidae. The record is from RefSeq and is a predicted model, not a curated record.